RNAcentral lists this ribosomal RNA (642 nucleotides) under uncultured bacterium. Its description in RNAcentral is "bacterial SSU rRNA". It matches the Rfam family "Bacterial small subunit ribosomal RNA", at positions 97 to 738 of the family's 1533-position model. The record is from RNAcentral.
GGCGCACGGGUGCGGAACACGUGUGCAACCUGCCUUUAUCUGGGGGAUAGCCUUUCGAAAGGAAGAUUAAUACCCCAUAAUAUAUUGAGUGGCAUCACUUGAUAUUGAAAACUCCGGUGGAUAGAGAUGGGCACGCGCAAGAUUAGAUAGUUGGUGAGGUAACGGCUCACCAAGUCAAUGAUCUUUAGGGGGCCUGAGAGGGUGAUCCCCCACACUGGUACUGAGACACGGACCAGACUCCUACGGGAGGCAGCAGUGAGGAAUAUUGGACAAUGGGUGAGAGCCUGAUCCAGCCAUCCCGCGUGAAGGACGACUGCCCUAUGGGUUGUAAACUUCUUUUAUACUGGGAUAAACCUACUUACGUGUAAGUAGCUGAAGGUACAGUAUGAAUAAGCACCGGCUAACUCCGUGCCAGCAGCCGCGGUAAUACGGAGGGUGCAAGCGUUAUCCGGAUUUAUUGGGUUUAAAGGGUCCGUAGGCGGACUCGUAAGUCAGUGGUGAAAUCUCAUAGCUUAACUAUGAAACUGCCAUUGAUACUGCGGGUCUUGAGUAAAGUAGAAGUGGCUGGAAUAAGUAGUGUAGCGGUGAAAUGCAUAGAUAUUACUUAGAACACCAAUUGCGAAGGCAGGUCACUAUGUUUUA